CCGAUGCCGUAAACCACCACAAGCCCCACCUCCAGAACCUCCUCCACUCCGCCGGCGCCCUACUCCUACGCGGCUUCCCCGUCCGCACCGCCGCCGACUUCAACGAUGCCGUUGAGGCCUUCGGGUACGAUGAGCUCCCCUACGUCGGCGGCGCCGCCUCCCGCACUAAAGUCGUCGGCCGCAUUUUCACCGCCAACGAGUCGCCGCCGGAUCAGAAGAUCCCCUUUCACCACGAGAUGGCACAGGUACCAGAGUUCCCGUCAAAGGUGUUUUUCUUCUGUGAAGUGGAGCCGGGGAGUGGAGGUGAGACUCCUAUUGUGCUGAGUCAUCAGGUUUAUGCG
RNAcentral lists this unclassified non-coding RNA (341 nucleotides) under Hevea brasiliensis (rubber tree). The record is from RNAcentral. Lineage: Eukaryota; Viridiplantae; Streptophyta; Magnoliopsida; Malpighiales; Euphorbiaceae.